This 252-nucleotide ribosomal RNA is filed under the name uncultured bacterium. RNAcentral describes it as "partial 16S ribosomal RNA". It matches the Rfam family "Bacterial small subunit ribosomal RNA", at positions 525 to 776 of the family's 1533-position model. The record is from RNAcentral.
ACGGAGGGGGCUAGCGUUGUUCGGAUUUACUGGGCGUAAAGCGCGCGUAGGCGGCUUGCCAAGUUGGGCGUGAAAGCCCGGGGCUCAACCCCGGAACUGCGCUCAAAACUGGCAGGCUAGAGACCGGGAGAGGAGAGUGGAAUUCCCAGUGUAGAGGUGAAAUUCGUAGAUAUUGGGAAGAACACCAGUGGCGAAGGCGGCUCUCUGGUCCGGUUCUGACGCUGAGGUGCGAAAGCGUGGGGAGCAAACAGG